Molecule: ribosomal RNA, 1362 nt
Filed under: uncultured bacterium
Lineage: Bacteria
Description: 16S ribosomal RNA
Rfam family: Bacterial small subunit ribosomal RNA
Source: RNAcentral
GAUGAACGCUAGCGACAGGCUUAACACAUGCAAGUCGAGGGGCAGCAGGGGAGUAGCAAUACUCCCGCUGGCGACCGGCGCACGGGUGAGUAACACGUAUGCAACCUGCCCUUGUCAGGGGGAUAAGCGGAAGAAAUUCCGUCUAAUACCGCAUAAUGCUGCGGGGAGACAUCUCCCUGCAGCCAAAGAUUUAUCGGACAAGGAUGGGCAUGCGGCGCAUUAGCUGGUUGGCGGGGUAACGGCCCACCAAGGCGACGAUGCGUAGGGGUUCUGAGAGGAAGGUCCCCCACACUGGUACUGAGACACGGACCAGACUCCUACGGGAGGCAGCAGUGAGGAAUAUUGGUCAAUGGCCGGGAGGCUGAACCAGCCAAGUCGCGUGAGGGAAGACGGUCCUAUGGAUUGUAAACCUCUUUUGUCAGGGAGCAAAAACUGCCACGCGUGGCAGGAUGAGAGUACCUGAAGAAAAAGCAUCGGCUAACUCCGUGCCAGCAGCCGCGGUAAUACGGAGGAUGCGAGCGUUAUCCGGAUUUAUUGGGUUUAAAGGGUGCGUAGGCGGACAGUUAAGUCAGCGGUAAAAUUGAGAGGCUCAACCUCUUCCCGCCGUUGAAACUGAUUGUCUUGAGUGGGCGAGAAGUAUGCGGAAUGCGUGGUGUAGCGGUGAAAUGCAUAGAUAUCACGCAGAACUCCGAUUGCGAAGGCAGCAUACCGGCGCCCAACUGACGCUGAAGCACGAAAGCGUGGGUAUCGAACAGGAUUAGAUACCCUGGUAGUCCACGCAGUAAACGAUGAAUACUAAUUGUUCGGGUCAAAUGAGAUCUGAGUGAUACAGCGAAAGCGUUAAGUAUUCCACCUGGGGAGUACGCCGGCAACGGUGAAACUCAAAGGAAUUGACGGGGGCCCGCACAAGCGGAGGAACAUGUGGUUUAAUUCGAUGAUACGCGAGGAACCUUACCCGGGCUCAAACGACACAGGGAUGAUCUGAGAAAUCAGGCAGUCCUCCGGGACCUGUGUCGAGGUGCUGCAUGGUUGUCGUCAGCUCGUGCCGUGAGGUGUCGGCUUAAGUGCCAUAACGAGCGCAACCCCCAUCGACAGUUGCCAGCAGGUGAAGCUGGGCACUCUGUCGAGACUGCCGGCGCAAGCUGUGAGGAAGGCGGGGAUGACGUCAAAUCAGCACGGCCCUUACGUCCGGGGCGACACACGUGUUACAAUGGCAGGUACAGCGGGAAGCCACCUGGCGACAGGGAGCGGAACCCGAAAGCCUGUCUCAGUUCGGAUUGGAGUCUGCAACUCGACUCCAUGAAGCUGGAUUCGCUAGUAAUCGCGCAUCAGCCACGGCGCGGUGAAUACGUUCCCGGGCCU